Molecule: ribosomal RNA, 253 nt
Filed under: uncultured bacterium
Lineage: Bacteria
Description: partial 16S ribosomal RNA
Rfam family: Bacterial small subunit ribosomal RNA
Source: RNAcentral
UACGAAGGGGGCUAGCGUUGUUCGGAUUUACUGGGCGUAAAGCGCACGUAGGCGGAUCGUUAAGUCGGGGGCGAAAUCCUGGAGCUCAACUCCAGAACUGCCUUCGAUACUGGCGAUCUUGAGUCCGGAAGAGGUGAGUGGAACUCCUAGUGUAGAGGUGGAAUUCGUAGAUAUUAGGAAGAACACCAGUGGCGAAGGCGGCUCACUGGUCCGGUACUGACGCUGAGGUGCGAAAGCCAGGGGAGCAAACGGG